This 584-nucleotide ribosomal RNA is filed under the name uncultured bacterium. RNAcentral describes it as "bacterial SSU rRNA". It matches the Rfam family "Bacterial small subunit ribosomal RNA", at positions 338 to 916 of the family's 1533-position model. The record is from RNAcentral.
CCUACGGGAGGCAGCAGUUUCGAAUCGUUCACAAUGGGGGCAACCCUGAUGGCGCGACGCCGCGUGGGGGAUGAAGGUCUUCGGAUUGUAAACUCCUGUCAUUGGGGACUAACGGCCAGGCUCAUACCCUGGUUUGAAUUAACCCAAAGAGGAAGCAGUGGCUAACUCUGUGCCAGCAGCCGCGGUAAUACAGAGACUGCAAGCGUUACUCGGAUUCACUGGGCGUAAAGGGAGCGCAGGCGGAUUAGUGUGUCAGGCGUGAAAUCCCGGGGCUCAACCCCGGUACCGCGCCCGAAACUACUAAUCUAGAGACUUGGAGGGGUAAGCGGAAUUCUUGGUGGAGCAGUGAAAUGCGUAGAUAUCAAGAGGAACACCAACGGCGAAGGCAGCUUACUGGACAAGAUCUGACGCUCAGGCUCGAAAGCGUGGGGAGCAAAAGGGAUUAGAUACCCCUGUAGUCCACGCUGUAAACGGUGCGCAUUAGGUCUUGGAGCUUUCGAACGCUCCAGGGCUCAAGCUAACGCAUUAAAUGCGCCGCCUGAGGACUAACGGCCGCAAGGCUAAAACUUAAAUUGAAUUGACGG